GCGCGGGUGGCGGAAUGGCAGACGCGCUAGCUUGAGGUGCUAGUGUCCGAAAGGACGUGGGGGUUCAAGUCCCCCUCCGCGCA
RNAcentral lists this transfer RNA (83 nucleotides) under Leucobacter exalbidus. RNAcentral describes it as "Leucobacter sp. K-540B tRNA". It matches the Rfam family "tRNA". From Rfam's summary of the family: Transfer RNA (tRNA) molecules are approximately 80 nucleotides in length. Their secondary structure includes four short double-helical elements and three loops (D, anti-codon, and T loops). Lineage: Bacteria; Bacillati; Actinomycetota; Actinomycetes; Micrococcales; Microbacteriaceae. The record is from Rfam by way of RNAcentral.